UCCACUGUGGUGUAGUGGUUUGAAUGUUGGACUACAACUAUGGAGACUAGGGUGCAAUUCCCUGCUCUGGCA
Molecule: non-coding RNA, 72 nt
Organism: Phrynosoma platyrhinos (Desert horned lizard)
Lineage: Eukaryota; Metazoa; Chordata; Lepidosauria; Squamata; Phrynosomatidae
Source: the annotation of a GenBank genome assembly